GGAGGUAUAGCUCAGUAGUGGAGCAUGUGCCUAGCAUGUGUGAGGUCCUGGGUUCAAUCCCCAGUCCCUCCA
Molecule: transfer RNA, 72 nt
Filed under: Camelus bactrianus (Bactrian camel)
Lineage: Eukaryota; Metazoa; Chordata; Mammalia; Artiodactyla; Camelidae
Also listed under: 1 other name
Rfam family: tRNA
About the family: Transfer RNA (tRNA) molecules are approximately 80 nucleotides in length. Their secondary structure includes four short double-helical elements and three loops (D, anti-codon, and T loops).
Source: Rfam by way of RNAcentral